UGGGGAAUUUUGGACAAUGGGCGAAAGCCUGAUCCAGCAAUGCCGCGUGUGUGAAGAAGGCCUUCGGGUUGUAAAGCACUUUUGUCCGUAAAGAAAUCCUUGGCUCUAAUACAGUCGGGGGAUGACGGUACCGGAAGAAUAAGCACCGGCUAACUACGUGCCAGCAGCCGCGGUAAUACGUAGGGUGCAAGCGUUAAUCGGAAUUACUGGGCGUAAAGCGUGCGCAGGCGGUUUGCUAAGACCGAUGUGAAAUCCCCGGGCUCAACCUGGGAACUGCAUUGGUGACUGGCAGGCUAGAGUAUGGCAGAGGGGGGUAGAAUUCCACGUGUAGCAGUGAAAUGCGUAGAGAUGUGGAGGAAUACCGAUGGCGAAGGCAGCCCCCUGGGCCAAUACUGACGCUCAUGCACGAAAGCGUGGGGAGCAAACAGGAUUAGAUACCCUGGUAGUCCACGCCCUAAAACGAUGUCAACUAGUUGCUGGGGAUUCAUUUCCUUAGUAACGUAGCUAACGCGUGAAGUUGACCGCCUGGGGAGUACGGUCGCAAGAUUAAAACUCAAAUGAAUUGACGGGGUCAUAGCUGUUUCCU
RNAcentral lists this ribosomal RNA (586 nucleotides) under uncultured bacterium. RNAcentral's name for it is "partial 16S ribosomal RNA". It matches the Rfam family "Bacterial small subunit ribosomal RNA", at positions 355 to 1375 of the family's 1533-position model. The record is from RNAcentral.